RNAcentral lists this long non-coding RNA (249 nucleotides) under Chinchilla lanigera (long-tailed chinchilla). RNAcentral describes it as "lncRNA (ENSCLAG00000023953.1)". The record is from RNAcentral. Lineage: Eukaryota; Metazoa; Chordata; Mammalia; Rodentia; Chinchillidae.
AUGCAGGAAAUGACUAAACAUUUAAUGCUGAUUACCUUGCAGUAUUCGUGGAGUCAGGAAGGUGAUGUGGAUGGCAUUGCGUGGGCAUUAAUGGAAAGAAAUUUGCCCACCUCUGUAGUAAGCAGUUCCCACUGUGUGAGGGAAACUAUCUCAGACUAUGCAAAGGUGAGUAACACUGGCCUUGCUCUGAAGUGAUUUAUAGUCUAAAGGAAAGGGCAGAAGGCCACUGAGCGGGAGGUAAAGGAAGAU